RNAcentral lists this ribosomal RNA (448 nucleotides) under uncultured bacterium. RNAcentral's name for it is "bacterial SSU rRNA". It matches the Rfam family "Bacterial small subunit ribosomal RNA", at positions 56 to 518 of the family's 1533-position model. The record is from RNAcentral.
UGCAAGUCGAACGGACGAGAGGAGCUGCUCCUCAAGUUAGUGGCGGACGGGUGAGGUAACACGUGAGCAACCUGCCCUUCGGAGGGGGACGAACAGCUGGAAACGGCUGCUAAUACCGCAUGAUACAGUCUGGAGGCAUCUCCGGGCUGUCAAAGAUUUUAUCGCCGAAGGAUGGGCUCGCGUCUGAUUAGAUAGUUGGUGGGGUAACGGCUCACCAAGUCGACGAUCAGUAGCCGGACUGAGAGGUUGAACGGCCACAUUGGGACUGAGAUACGGCCCAGACUCCUACGGGAGGCAGCAGUGGGGAAUAUUGGGCAAUGGGGGGCAACCCUGACCCAGCAACGCCGCGUGGAGGAAGAAGGCUUUCGGGUUGUAAACUCCUUUGACGAGGGACGAUAGUGACGGUACCUCGAAAACAAGCCACGGCUAACUACGUGCCAGCAGCGGC